CCAUUGACCUCAAAUCAGGUAGGACUACC
RNAcentral lists this ribosomal RNA (29 nucleotides) under fungal sp. TL1608. RNAcentral describes it as "partial 28S ribosomal RNA". Lineage: Eukaryota; Fungi. The record is from RNAcentral.